Molecule: long non-coding RNA, 452 nt
Organism: Helianthus annuus (common sunflower)
Lineage: Eukaryota; Viridiplantae; Streptophyta; Magnoliopsida; Asterales; Asteraceae
Exons: 2
Source: RefSeq, a predicted model, not a curated record
UGUGUCGACCUGCGCAAAAGAAAGACAAGGGAAAAACCCUUAAACCUUAAAAUUCAGCAAAACUGAAAGAGGAAUUGAAGAUAAAAUUGAUGCAUGAACACAAAUUCUUCACUAUCUAAGUGUUCUUAACAUAAGGUGUGAAAGAAGAAGGCCCGAGUAACAAGAAAGCACAAGGUGUUCAAGAUCGAGUUUUAAUUAUAGCAUUGUUUAUUGUUAUAUAUUGUGGUAAUCAAAGUCCGUUAGAGAAUGAUUAUGUAAUAGACCCAUUACAAACGGGUCGAACGAACUAGAAUUGUCAUGUAGAGAAUGAUCAUGUAAAAGACCCAUUACGAAUGGUCGAAUAAACUAGAAUAUCAUGUUAAAUAUGGACCCAUAGGAACGGGUCGAAUAAACUAGAAUGUUAUGUCAAAGAAUGACCAUGUAAUAGAGCCAAUACGAACAUGUCGAACGAA